Dermacentor silvarum is the source of this 533-nucleotide long non-coding RNA. RefSeq lists it as uncharacterized. The record is from RefSeq and is a predicted model, not a curated record. Lineage: Eukaryota; Metazoa; Arthropoda; Arachnida; Ixodida; Ixodidae. The transcript is spliced from 4 exons.
CGACGCAUUGCCUCGUUUGCCGCAUUUCGGCAUGGACGUGAGGGUGGUCUUACUUCUGGCUUUGCUCGUUGGAAUAAUCCAUGCUAAUCCCCGCUGCUGGAAUGUAAAAAAUGGCAUCGUCUGCUUCGGCAAGAAUUACUACUACAGUAAAACAACCGAUCCGGAUGGAAGCGUUCAAGAACAAAUGUCUUUUAGCUCCAGCCAAGCGAUAAUAGUUUAGCAGAGUAGAGCACUUGCUUCGAUGUUUUCAUAGCAGAACGUUUCCCGGCGCAUCGCUCCCUGGGGGAUGUUACCGGUCUCCUUGGGUCGUUGUCAUGGAGUCCAACGCGGCCGGACUGGGCCUUCCGGGGAAGACCGUCCCAUGCCGCCACCGGGCUCCUUCGGGUCCUGUCGUGUGAGGCGCUGGCAUUCGCCAUCUCCUCGCUUGUCUACCGCUCUUCUCCAUUUCUGCAAUCCUGGUUAAGCGACAAAGCUCGCGCAGGGUUUAAGAAUAUGUUGCUAAAAUUAAAUAUGUUCAUUCUGAUCUCAUUGAA